RNAcentral lists this ribosomal RNA (373 nucleotides) under uncultured bacterium. RNAcentral's name for it is "bacterial SSU rRNA". It matches the Rfam family "Bacterial small subunit ribosomal RNA", at positions 527 to 898 of the family's 1533-position model. The record is from RNAcentral.
GUAGGGGGCUAGCGUUGUCCGGAAUCAUUGGGCGUAAAGCGCGCGUAGGCGGCCCGGUAAGUCCGCUGUAAAAGUCAAAGGCUCAACCUUUGAAUGUCAGUGGAUACUGCCGGGCUAGAGUCCGGAAGAGGCGAGUGGAACUCCUGGUGUAGCGGUGGAAUGCGCAGAUAUCAGGAAGAACACCGACGGCGAAGGCAGCUCGCUGGGACGGUACUGACGCUGAGGCGCGAAAGCGUGGGGAGCGAACAGGAUUAGAUACCCUGGUAGUCCACGCCGUAAACGAUGGGCACUAGGUGUGGGAGGUGUCGACUCCUCCCGUGCCGGCGCUAACGCAUUAAGUGCCCCGCCUGGGGAGUACGGCCGCAAGGCUAAA